Lepus europaeus (European hare) is the source of this 221-nucleotide long non-coding RNA. RefSeq lists it as uncharacterized. NCBI's taxonomy places the organism in Eukaryota, Metazoa, Chordata, Mammalia, Lagomorpha, Leporidae. The record is from RefSeq and is a predicted model, not a curated record. The transcript is spliced from 3 exons.
GGAGCAGGGCAGGUGCCUUUCCAGACGGCGUCGCAGGUGGAGGCCGGGGCGCCUAGGCUCGGCUCCCGGGGCAAGCAUGAGGAUCCACUGUCUUGCUGCCACCCAAGGAUCCACUUCUGACUGAUUUUAGCAGCAUAACAGCAUCAUGCAUUACGAUCCCUAAAGAGCAGCAGGUGGCCAGCAAGUGUUGCCAUAUUGAGCAGAACAUAGUGAUGAAGAUU